Molecule: ribosomal RNA, 465 nt
Filed under: uncultured bacterium
Lineage: Bacteria
Description: partial 16S ribosomal RNA
Rfam family: Bacterial small subunit ribosomal RNA
Source: RNAcentral
GACGAACGCUGGCGGCGUGCUUAACACAUGCAAGUCGAACGGAAAGGCCCCUUUGGGGGUACUCGAGUGGCGAACGGGUGCGUAACACGUGAGUAACCUGCCCUUGACUUCGGGAUAACUUCAGGAAACUGGGGCUAUUACCGGAUAGGAAUCCUUGCUGCAUGGUGGGGGUUGGAAAGCUUCGGCGGUUUUGGAUGGACUCGCGGCUUAUCAGCUUGUUGGUGGGGUAGUGGCUUACCAAGGCGUUGACGGGUAGCCGGCCUGAGAGGGCGACCGGCCACAUUGGGACUGAGAUACGGCCCAGACUCCUACGGGAGGCAGCAGUGGGGAAGAUUGCACAAUGGGCGGAAGCCUGAUGCAGCAACGCCGCGUGCGGGAUGACGGCCUUCGGGUUGUAAACCGCUUUCAGCAGGGGCGAAGCUUGUGGUGACGGUACCUGCAGAAGAAGCACCGGCUAACUACGUG